This is a long non-coding RNA of Humulus lupulus (European hop), 424 nucleotides long. RefSeq lists it as uncharacterized. The transcript has 4 exons. Lineage: Eukaryota; Viridiplantae; Streptophyta; Magnoliopsida; Rosales; Cannabaceae. The record is from RefSeq and is a predicted model, not a curated record.
CUUCCUCUCUGGUUUCUCUCAGUUUUCUCCGAGCCGUCCGCCUCCCUCCGCCAUUUUCCUCCGUUUUCCUCCCAAAAAGCUCGGUUUUAAGCCUCAAAAUUGCCAAGGGUGAAGGGAUUUCUGUGUAUUUGUUGAAGGUUGGGUAUUCGGUUUUUGUUGGACUAAAGAGAUUGCUAGCAAGAUAUUGAAGGCAUUGGACACACACGUGGAUUAAUUUGACCGUCAGAUAUCCCAGCUGAUUGUGAACGAGCGCCUCCAAAUAAACGUGGACGCCAUAAAGGAUUGAACACGCGGGAAAAGAGGGAACAGUUGGGGCGUCCUCUCCCUCUCGAGUGGGAUGUGCGGGGGAGAACAUAUAAAGAGAUCGAAGAGUACAGCUCAAAUUUCUCAAGAGAGCUCGGAUUACUUGUUCGACAGUACACAG